This is a long non-coding RNA of Saccostrea cuccullata (small rock oyster), 763 nucleotides long. RefSeq lists it as uncharacterized. The transcript has 6 exons. Lineage: Eukaryota; Metazoa; Mollusca; Bivalvia; Ostreida; Ostreidae. The record is from RefSeq and is a predicted model, not a curated record.
AGAGGAGGUGUAUGCUGACCCGGGAGGAUCCCAACAGCAGUCAAGAAGGGAAGAGGAGGAUGCGCAGCAAGAAGAAGAUCCCACCAGAGCCCAGCCCACCAAAGCCCAGCCCAACCCAGAUGUGGAUCCAAUUCCGCGACCAGGAAGCCUAACAGAGAAGCAUUUUGAAUUUAUUUCCUUCUCUCUGUCUCCUCUCUGUCUCCUCAGCACUUCCACUAAAUCUAAAAAAACUAACCAUCCCCUACCCCUUAAUCUUCAUUGAAUUUCUGAACUUUGUUUCAUUGAUUUGAAUGUUUACUAAUCUCUUCUCAGUUUCUAUUUUCAGGCACUCGGACGUGGUACAACGCGGGAGCACCCAGCCAGCCGCCCAGCCACAGAUGAAGAGGAAGGAGCCCAUCGCCCAGCCUUGUCUAGCAGCCAACAUUGGCCAAUGCGGAGCGUUGAUCCCACCGAGACGUACAGCAGCAUUCUUGGGAGCAGGGAUCGACUGCGACCGCACACGGAAGAGAGGGUAUGCAGUGUGAGGCAGCCCUCCAUUCCCAGCCCUUUGAAGAGGAGACUGCCAAACCCAAGGAAGGUGCGGGUUAGGCUAGUGUUGAUUUCCAGAUGAAGUGUGGACCGCAGCCUGCCAGAAGAAGUGCACAGAAUUCAGGGACAUACAGCGGCCCACCCCAGCAUUGAAGGUACGGGCUUGGACAGGUUGCGUGGAAGAAGAGCAGACCGACACCAGUAGGCAGCCAUUCUGCGAUGCAUUGCGGUCAAU